GCCAGACUCCUACGGGAGGCAGCAGUGGGGGAUAUUGCACAAUGGGGGGAACCCUGAUGCAGCGACGCCGCGUGGGUGAAGGAGCGUUUCGGCGCGUAAAGCCCUCUCGGCAGGGAAGAAGGAGGACGGUACCUGACUAAGAAGCCCCGGCUAACUACGUGCCAGCAGCCGCGGUAAUACGUAGGGGGCAAGCGUUAUCCGGAUUUACUGGGUGUAAAGGGGGCGCAGACGGCAGCGCAAGCCAGGAGUGAAAGCCCGGGGCCCAACCCCGGGACUGCUCUUGGAACUGCGCGGCUGGAGUGCAGGAGGGGCAGGCGGAAUUCCUGGUGUAGCGGUGAAAUGCGUAGAUAUCAGGAGGAACACCGGUGGCGAAGGCGGCCUGCUGGACUGCGACUGACGUUGAGGCCCGAAAGCGUGGGGAGCAAACAGGAUUAGAUACCCCCGUACC
Molecule: ribosomal RNA, 448 nt
Filed under: uncultured bacterium
Lineage: Bacteria
Description: partial 16S ribosomal RNA
Rfam family: Bacterial small subunit ribosomal RNA
Source: RNAcentral